AUGUCAAUGUGUCUGUCCUUCACUCCUCCAUUGUCUGCCGCCGCUGCUGCUGCUGCUGCCGCUGCCGCUGCACGAAUUGCCGCAGCCCCCAGCCUUGCGCGUCGUCGCUACCUCCUCGGACAGGUGAGAAGCAGCCCAGAAAUUUUAUGAAUAAGCAUCAGAAGCCAGUGCUAACAGGCCAGCGGUUCAAAACUCGGAAAAGGGAUGAAAAAGAGAAAUUCGAACCCACAGUCUUCAGGGAUACACUUGUCCAGGGGCUUAAUGAGGCUGGUGAUGACCUUGAAGCUGUAGCCAAAUUUCUGGACUCUACAGGCUCAAGAUUAGAUUAUCGUCGCUAUGCAGACACACUCUUCGAUAUCCUGGUGGCUGGCAGUAUGCUUGCCCCUGGAGGAACGCGCAUAGAUGAUGGUGACAAGACCAAGAUGACCAACCACUGUGUGUUUUCAGCAAAUGAAGAUCAUGAAACCAUCCGAAACUAUGCUCAGGUCUUCAAUAAACUCAUCAGGAGAUAUAAGUAUUUGGAGAAGGCAUUUGAAGAUGAAAUGAAAAAGGCAUUGCGGCCUCAUUUGCUGUCAAGCUUUUCAAAGCAUGGAUGGCAGAAAAAGAUGCCAACUCUGUUACCUCGUCUUUGAGAAAAGCCAACUUAGACAAGAGGCUGCUUGUGGUGCUUUAUGUCAAGGAAGAAAUGAAGAGGAAUGAUCUUCCAGAAACAGCAGUGAUUGGUCUUCUGUGGACCUGUAUAAUGAACGCUGUUGAGUGGAACAAGAAGGAAGAACUUGUUGCAGAGCAGGCUC
Molecule: small RNA, 794 nt
Filed under: Pongo abelii (Sumatran orangutan)
Lineage: Eukaryota; Metazoa; Chordata; Mammalia; Primates; Hominidae
Description: processed transcript
Source: RNAcentral